This 1957-nucleotide long non-coding RNA is filed under the name Bemisia tabaci. RNAcentral describes it as "lncRNA ENSASIAIIG006363". Lineage: Eukaryota; Metazoa; Arthropoda; Insecta; Hemiptera; Aleyrodidae. The record is from RNAcentral.
GAAACUUUUGCAGAUCUCGGUGUCGAAAUCGCGGGAGUCGAGCCCGCCGACGUUCCAACUGCCGGCGCCGCCUCCGCGAGUGCCGACGCUGCCGAUGGUCAUGGACUACGUGUGGCACCACGGGAGCCUCAAGAACCCUUUCGUCCCGUACUCGCCGAUCAACUGGCUGUCCCCGGCCACGGCUGCCGCGGCGUCCCUCCAGUUCGGCCUCCCGAGCGGCUCCAACCAUCCCUUCCUCCUCAACUCCAACGCCGCCGCCGAUCCCAAGUUCUACCAGUCGGCUUUCCGCCCGUCCUCGCCUCCGUGGCCCCGGCCCCCGCUCUGCCCUGCCCCCACCCCCACCCGAGGCCCCUCGGCUCCCCAGGCACCCCCAGCGACGAGGACAUGCCCGAGGACGAGACCACGGUCGAUAUAGAAACCUGCCCUGAGGACGAGGAGAAGCCGCUAUCUGCCCAAAAUAUCCAGAGGAAGCACUGCAUAGGAAAGACGAAACAUCAGAGGGAUAAACAAGUUUCAGAUUGUGAAGCGCGAUGCCGCGUUGUGAAUUCUGACUCGGAUGGUGAAGAAAGUAUAAGCGGGGGUGGCUCUAAAGCAUUCAGUAUCGUAGGACUUACUGCCCCUGCAGUAUGCAGCCCCGGUGACCUUUGCAGAAAUGGUUGCUACCGGACAGACGAUAAUGAAAACAGGAGCGCUGUAGACCAUGUGAAGAAACCAUACCUUCCCAGUUGCCUCUCGUUAGUUGCAAGAAAUGAUGACCCGAAGCUUAGUCCAACAGAUGCAGCAAAUCCAGUCGUUUAUCAGCCCUUGGCAACAAAACCAUCGAUCCGGAGUUACUCUGAAUGCACUGUCUGCAAUGUUGAGCCCACUUCACCAUCAAUCUAAUAUUAAUUGUCUUCUCCGAGCUAUUUUUUUUAUUUAAAAAAAAAAAACUCAUAAUAUUAUACAAACUGUGAGAAGACAUAGAGACAAGAGUGGUAGACAUAAUAUGUGAAAGAAACAAUUCACGUUCAUAAUGUAUGGUAUGGAAGAUUGUGAACUAUCACUCUGUUAUAUAAAAUUAUAAGGGUGACGCGUAACGCAUUUAGAGGCGCCUCGAAGAAUUGGACCGCGAAGCAGCCAGGGAGCGUAGAGGUCCCCUAGUUUCCAUUAAAACUAUUGCAUUAAGUGACGAAAAUUUUGUUCGCAUAGGAUACGUUUAAAUAGGCGUCUUCAAGCAUAGCAGUCUGAAUAUUACAAAAUGAUCAAAUGAUGACUUUUACUCCUCUGCUAUCUUAGCGCAAAAAUAUAUGCAAUGAGGAUCAGGAUCGAAGGUAUAAAAAUUUCAUUUCUGCAUCCUCAAAAUUUAACUUCAAUAAAAGAGGAAGAAAGAGAAGUUCACAGAAUAAUUCUUCCCUAGCCUCUCCAGGAUUCCAGCUGUUGUUCUUUGGGAUAUGUGAACAAAAUGUUACGAUAAUCAUCCAUUACGUGAUAAUUCUAGUCAUUAAAUUUUACUCGUAAACCCGGAACCAACUACUAUGAAUGUUUUUUCCACGAAGAAUCUUUGGCCUUCAAAGCUUUUGACUCGCUAAUCAUCGGACUGCAAUGCGCAUAAUGUUGCAUAAUCAGGGACAGCAUUUAAACCUUUUCUAUUUCCUAUUGCAAUAUCAGUGUAAUUUAAAAGAGGUAAUGAGACACGCUACAAUUUUUCAAGGUAAAUGAAUUCAAAACUCUGCAAAAUGAUAUGUAUGGACUUUAGCAAUGUCUUGACGUGCAAAGAACUUUGUAUUCUGGAGCAGAAUUUUCUUCAUGCUCCGUAUUGAAUUCGUGUCGCAGACCUAAAAGUUUUGACAGAUUGUGAGAACUGUGCAAUACGUACUUUAAGUAGCAUGCAAAUUAUUUGUUCGUAGUAACCACUGUUCCAAAUUGUAAAUAUCCUAGUUUACAACGCAUAAGCAAGUUGAAUAAAAAAACAAAAUUU